UAUAAGUGUACUUGUGGGUUUCGUGUCCAACGCUUGAUCGUCCGUCUUAUUUAAAAAAAUAUGAUUAGAAUUUUUAUUGUUAUUAGAUGAUAAAACAUGAAUAGUACUUUAUAUGUGACUUUUUUUUAUAAAAUUUUUAAAUAAGACGGACAGUCAAAUAUUGGACAUGAAAACCCACAACUGCACUUAUA
Molecule: non-coding RNA, 191 nt
Organism: Oryza glaberrima (African rice)
Lineage: Eukaryota; Viridiplantae; Streptophyta; Magnoliopsida; Poales; Poaceae
Source: Rfam